Non-coding RNA from Acanthosepion pharaonis, 114 nucleotides. The record is from the annotation of a GenBank genome assembly. NCBI's taxonomy places the organism in Eukaryota, Metazoa, Mollusca, Cephalopoda, Sepiida, Sepiidae.
UUACGGUCAUAUCCCAUUGGAACACCGGUUCUUAUACGAUCACCGAAGUUAAGCAACGUCAAGCUUGGUCAGUACCUCGAUGGGUGAUCGUUUGGGAACACCGAUUGCUGUAAG